Molecule: long non-coding RNA, 3793 nt
Organism: Macadamia integrifolia
Lineage: Eukaryota; Viridiplantae; Streptophyta; Magnoliopsida; Proteales; Proteaceae
Exons: 3
Source: RefSeq, a predicted model, not a curated record
UUCUUCAAAUUUCUUCACCAAAGCACCCACAAAUUCGGCUCCUUAUUACACCUAAGAUUAUGAAUUAAAUCAGAUUCAAAUCCAACCUUAUUAAAAAAAAGCAUGGGAAAUUUCACAUAGUUAAUCAUAGGCUCGACAAUACAGAUCAAGUUCAGCACAUGAUCACGAACCAAUUUCCCUGAGGACACCUUUACGGAAACCUUCUUCAUACCACGGAUAUUCCAGAAAAGAACACGCAUGGUCACAUAAGAGAGGAGGCAGAUUGAUCAGACCUUGCAAGGGCCUGAUCCUUUUGGGCAACCUUCUUACCCUUCUUCUGCUAAAUGACCUAGCCAUCAUUUGCCUCUUCCCUAUGUCUAGCAGCCCUAUCGAUGACAUCAACCCCAGCACCACCUCAAUUCUGACUUGUAUGUCCAGUCUCGCGUCCAACAUUGAGCAUCAGACCUCCACGGUGUGCAUAACGAAGGCUCCUUCAUACAGCUUCUUGAUGAGCAAUUCCUUGUAGCGCAGAGGCUACAGUGGUACCCCCGUCAGGGUCGAUCUCAGCCCUCAAAUCCGAGUCCGUUAGAUCAUGGGUAAUGGGUUGCUCCAUAUCAUGAUUUGGCAAUAUUCUACUAUCCAAAUCAGAUCGCUCCACAUCAAGGAUAACUUCUAACCGUGGCUAGGUUACCAUAUUUGGGAGAGUGUUAAUAUUGGUAUGAGAUCUCACUUGAUUGCCCAAUGGGGAAUGCCUCCUUGAUUGAGGCGUGCAAUCCUCCAAGAUUUUAUCCUCUAAUUCACCUUUCGAAUUUGGAACAAGAUCCCCAUCACUGCCUUCUGUGGUAGCUCCACCCUCUUAUGGGUGGUUUUUCCCCAUCUUGCCACCUCCUCCGCCUUCUGAGGCGGCAUCAUCUCCAGCAUACAGAGGGUUGGUUCUGGCGAACUAACCACUCAUUGUGGCUCCUCGUCGGCAUAAACAACACCUAGGAUACCAAGCUCCCUCUCCACCUCAGCAUCUCUGGCAUUAGCUAGCUUCUUGUCUCUGCAGGAAAAAAUCGUGUGGCCCAGUUUUUUGUAAAAACCAUAGCAACCAGGGUUGUCUUCAUAUGUGAUUUUUUGUUUGAACCAGAAAAGUGUGGAUGUCCCAGGCUGCCUUCUCUCUACUUGGAUCUCCUCCGCCCUUAUACCUCCAAUCUCCAUCUCUACCAAAACACGAGCAAAGUUUUCGUACAUGACUUGUUUGGUGCACUGAUCAAGCACCGCAUGCCUACCUGCCGCCUUCGCCAUAGUCAGGAGGACCUUCUCAUGCUAGAAUUCCUAUGGCAAGUCUGGAAAUCAGAUCCAAACCAAGGCCUUAUUCACAUGUUUUUUGUGGAUAUUAAAGUUAGGGCGCCACCCCUGAAAUCUGAUGUAUUGGCCUCCCAAUCUGAUCGAGUUGUGCUUUCAGAUGAAGGCCAUAUCGCUUUUAAUGUCAAACUGAAAAAUGGUGUACCCUUUACUCAUGGGAACCAUCUUCACCUUCCCCUUCAGCUUCCAACCUUCUGUGGCCCCACGUCUAGUUGCAUCCAAAGAAAUAUAUCGGAAAUUAAUCCUUUCGAUUAGAGCAAAAUAGUAUUUCUUCAGUCUAUCUUCAUAAGCAUCCUGAGGGAUGAUGACCUUGGUGGAGGUACCAGCAUGGAUGGGAUCAGGGAGGUCAUCUGCCUCGGUGAAAAUACUCCCAACAGCCGAUGCAUAGGAUUUCUGAGUAGGUGUAGCUGGCGAAUUAGGAACUUGAUCCACAGGGGGAGAACCAUCGAGAUCCUGCCCAUCACCCAAAGCUCUUGCCGCCUUUGGCACUCCAAGGUUAUUGCUCAUCGUUGCCAUCACCGGGCUCCUCUACAAUAUUAAUACCUUCAUACUUUGUCCUCAAGCAAAGUGUGCACAUGGUAGAGCUUUGUCAUGUGUGCUUGCUGCAUCCUAUGGUAUGUUGGCUUUUGUGAUUGUAUGUAGUUAAUUGCACCUUUUGUGGUGCCUUGUUGUGUUGCGACCACGUGCUUGUUGUAGGAUGAGGCAAGAUUGGGCCAUUACCUACAUGGUUGCUCUACCGCACUACUUUGGCCACCCAAAUUUUGAAAUUUGCACAGUGAUACUCCCUUGUGGACCGCUGCUUGUGUGCAGGCUCAACCUUACAAGAAUAUGGAGUUCGUGCUUGCUACAACUUGUUGGGCUUGUCGCGUGGCCAGUAUUUAGUCCAGGUACUUCGAACUCCUUGAGAGGGUGUGGCCUUGUUGAUUUGUGGCCUGAAUCAACAACUUUUCACGGGGCUAUAGCUGAAUGUAAAUGAUGUAUGGUGACCUUGUGUAUAUGUUGAGGGGACUUAAAAUGAAACAAUCGAUGGUAUCAGCUGCUGUCCUAGACAUCAAGAUCAGCUAGGACAGGAAUCCAAUAAGCACUUGGGCGAAGUGAAACGGAUCUAUGAGCACCAUAUAUUAACGCACGCACUGUAAUUUUUCAGCUUGGUUCUGGUGUGCACUUGACUCAUAAUUGGUCUUGCCGUUGCUUGUUCACUCAAGGAGUUGCUUCUUUAGGUGAGGAAGGGACUCUAGGGUUAAUGUGUCCCGCUUGGAGAAUCGAUAGAAGAAUAAAGAUUGCAGGUUCAACUUAAGCAAAGUUCGGAUUUUUAUGAGAAGCUUAUAUAUAAACAGCUAUGAGUAAUAACUUGGAAUUUGAGGCAUUUACAUCAUAAUCUCAAGUUAAGAUUCAGUUUAUCUUUUUUUUUUUCCAUAAAAUAUCCAUGGGUGUGUUUUCUGUCCGGAAGCUUGCCCCUAUGCCCGGGUGUGAAAUGACCAUCACCCCCUCCUCGUCGAUGCCUGAUCAAGUGCUCUCAUUGGUCGGGCAUAGGGCCAAGCUCCCAGAUAGAAAACUUUCUUCUUAUAUUAUAUAGCUAUAUCUAAUGGAGAUCUCUAUGCCUGGGGUGUGAAAUGACCACCAAAUUCCUCUUAGUUGAUGCGUGAGCGAGUGUUAGCAUUAUACAUGACAUCUUAAAUGUGAGGGAUUGGUCCUUGCCAAUUGAGCUACCCAUCAGAGAUGAUGUCACUUGGAACAUUAUUCUGUUUCUUGAAUUUUGCCAAACUAACCGUAAAACUGCAUCACCUACUAUUCAAUGAGCCUUGCUAUUCUUAGUCAAGCUUGUAAUGGGUAGUCGAUAGGCAGGCUUUCAUUCUAAUUCAUAAUGAAGGUUGAAAUGAGAUGGGUAGUCGAGAGGCUGUGAUCAUUGAUUCUAAACGUAGUGUAAGUGUAGCCACCAACCAAAUUGGGCAAUGACUUUUUAUCAAACUGUACAAUUUUACUUCAUUGAAUCAUUGAUUACAAUAAUUCAAUUUUAUAGGAAAUUAUUGUGAUCAUAAGGAACUUGUUGGCAGCAAGAGCCCCGAAACAUCUUGCAAGGUUUGCACUACACAGUGAGUGAUGAGUGACAGUGAGGAUCCAACGGCUGGGAAGAUAGAGAUGUCGGUAGAUGCUUCAGAUCUAAUCAAAUGGAUGCUGACACAAAGAAUCCCACAAAGAUGGCUUUUGGAUCUGUUUGAUAUCCUUUUUUGAGUAUAUCCUCCUUUAUGACUAAUUGUCAAUUGGGACAAAAAUACUAUGUUGGAGUGUGAAGGAUGUGCAUAGACACAGAAGAGUUGAAAUGACUUUCCCACCCCCAUGAAAGCCAAAAAUGUUUGUCCUACUAAUGCUUCCACAUGUAUUCCCAUUGGUCCCCACACUUCGACAGAGAACUCUUUUCCCUAGUCAAUUUUAUACCUUCUAUAAUGGUAAGGAUGCUCUAUUUGAA